CGCGUGGUUCUAUUUUGUUGGUUUUUAGAACCGCCGUAAUGAUUAAUAGGGACAGUCGGGGGCAUCUGUAUUCAAUUGUCAGAGGUGAAAUUCUUGGAUCUAUUGAAGACAAACUACUGCGAAAGCAUUUGCCAAGGAUGUUUUCAUUGAUAAGGAACGAAAGUUAGGGGAUCGAAGACGAUCAGAUACCGUCGUAGUCUUAACUAUAAACUAUGCCGACUAGGGAUCGGACGAUGUUAUUUUUUGACUCGUUCGGCACCUUUCGAGAAAUCAAAGUGCUUGGGCUCCAGGGGGAGUAUGGUCGCAAGGCUGAAACUUAAAGAAAUUGACGGAAGGGCACCACCAGGGGUGGAACCUGCGGCUUAAUUUGACUCAACACGGGGAAACUCACCAGGUCCAGACACAGUGAGGAUUGACAGAUUGAUAGCUCUUUCUUGAUUCUGUGGGUGGUGGUGCAUGGCCGUUCUUAGUUGGUGGAGUGAUUUGUCUGCUUAAUUGCGAUAACGAACGAGACCUUAACCUGCUAAAUAGCCCGUUCUGCUCCGGCAGUACGCUGGCUUCUUAGAGGGACUAUCGGCUCAAGCCGAUGGAAGUUUGAGGCAAUAACAGGUCUGUGAUGCCCUUAGAUGUCCUGGGCCGCACGCGCGUUACACUGACAAAGCCAGCGAGUAUUUCCUUAGCCGGAAGCUUGAGUAUCUUGUUAAACUUUGUCGUGC
This 716-nucleotide ribosomal RNA is filed under the name uncultured fungus. RNAcentral describes it as "SSU rRNA". It matches the Rfam family "Eukaryotic small subunit ribosomal RNA", at positions 827 to 1570 of the family's 1831-position model. Lineage: Eukaryota; Fungi. The record is from RNAcentral.